Molecule: ribosomal RNA, 380 nt
Filed under: uncultured cyanobacterium
Lineage: Bacteria; Bacillati; Cyanobacteriota
Description: bacterial SSU rRNA
Rfam family: Bacterial small subunit ribosomal RNA
Source: RNAcentral
CGAAAGCCUGACGGAGCAAGACCGCGUGAGGGAGGAAGGCUCUUGGGUUGUAAACCUCUUUUCUCAGGGAAGAAGCUCUGACGGUACCUGAGGAAUCAGCCUCGGCUAACUCCGUGCCAGCAGCCGCGGUAAUACGGAGGAGGCAAGCGUUAUCCGGAAUUAUUGGGCGUAAAGCGUCCGCAGGUGGUGAGUCAAGUCUGCUGUCAAAGCCAGGAGCUCAACUCCUGUCCGGCAGUGGAAACUGACCCACUCGAGGGUGGUAGGGGUAGAGGGAAUUCCCAGUGUAGCGGUGAAAUGCGUAGAGAUUGGGAAGAACACCGGUGGCGAAAGCGCUCUACUGGACCACACCUGACACUCAGAGGACGAAAGCUAGGGGAGCG